GUGGGGAAUUUUGGACAAUGGGCGCAAGCCUGAUCCAGCAAUGCCGCGUGCAGGAAGAAGGCCUUCGGGUUGUAAACUGCUUUUGUACGGAACGAAACGGUCCUGGUUAAUACCCGGGGCUAAUGACGGUACCGUAAGAAUAGGCACCGGCUAACUACGUGCCAGCAGCCGCGGUAAUACGUAGGGUGCAAGCGUUAAUCGGAAUUACUGGGCGUAAAGCGUGCGCAGGCGGUGCUGUAAAACAGUCGUGAAAUCCCCGGGCUUAACCUGGUAAUUGCUCGUGUGACUGCAGUGCUGGAGUGCGGCAGAGGGGGAUAGAAUUUCGAGUGUAGCAGUGAAAUGCGUAGCUAUGCGGAGGAACACCGAUGGCGAAGGCAAUCCCCUGGGCCUGCACUGACGCUCAUGCACGAAAGCGUGGGGAGCAAACAGGAUUAGAAACCCUUGUAGUCC
Molecule: ribosomal RNA, 450 nt
Filed under: uncultured bacterium
Lineage: Bacteria
Description: partial 16S ribosomal RNA
Rfam family: Bacterial small subunit ribosomal RNA
Source: RNAcentral